UACGUAGGGUGCAAGCGUUGUCCGGAAUUAUUGGGCGUAAAGAGCGUGUAGGCGGCCAGAUAAGUCCGCUGUGAAAUCUCGAGGCUCAACUUCGAGCUGUCGGUGGAAACUAUCUGGCUAGAGUCCGGAAGAGGAGAAUGGAAUUCCUGGUGUAGCGGUGAAAUGCGCAGAUAUCAGGAGGAACACCAGCGGCGAAGGCGGCGCUCUGGGCCGGUACUGACACUGAGGAGCGAAAGCGUGGGUAGCAAACAGG
RNAcentral lists this ribosomal RNA (253 nucleotides) under uncultured bacterium. Its description in RNAcentral is "partial 16S ribosomal RNA". It matches the Rfam family "Bacterial small subunit ribosomal RNA", at positions 524 to 776 of the family's 1533-position model. The record is from RNAcentral.